GCUCCGGUGGCCUAGUGGUUAGAGCAUCCGCCUUGGAUGCAAGAGGUCGUGGGUUCAAUCCCCUGUCGAGUCA
Non-coding RNA from Potamilus streckersoni, 73 nucleotides. Lineage: Eukaryota; Metazoa; Mollusca; Bivalvia; Unionida; Unionidae. The record is from the annotation of a GenBank genome assembly.